This 87-nucleotide transfer RNA is filed under the name Pectobacterium aroidearum. Its description in RNAcentral is "tRNA-Leu". It matches the Rfam family "tRNA". Rfam says of the family: Transfer RNA (tRNA) molecules are approximately 80 nucleotides in length. Lineage: Bacteria; Pseudomonadati; Pseudomonadota; Gammaproteobacteria; Enterobacterales; Pectobacteriaceae. RNAcentral also lists the same sequence under 1 other name. The record is from RNAcentral.
GCCCAGGUGGUGAAAUCGGUAGACACAAGGGAUUUAAAAUCCCUCGGCGUUCGCGCUGUGCGGGUUCAAGUCCCGCCCUGGGCACCA